UGAAUGAGUCAUACAGCCUGUACCC
RNAcentral lists this non-coding RNA (25 nucleotides) under Mus musculus (house mouse). The record is from RNAcentral. Lineage: Eukaryota; Metazoa; Chordata; Mammalia; Rodentia; Muridae. RNAcentral also lists the same sequence under 1 other name.